AGACCUAAGGUCAGGCGGGACUACGUGCUGAAUUAAAGCAUAUCAAAAAGCGGAGGAAAAGAAACUAACAAGGAUUCCCUUAGUAACGGCGAGCGAAUUGGGAUAGGCCGACCAUGUGAAUCGUUCGCCUUCGGCGUUCGAAUUGUAGUCUUGAGAAGCGUCCUCAACGGCGGAACGGGCCCAAGUCCCCUGGAAGGGGGCGCCGGAGAGGGUGAGAGCCCCGUUGUGCUCGGACCUAGCGCACCACAAGGAGCUAUCGGCGAGUCGGGUUGUUUGGGAAUGCAGCCCCAAUCGGGCGGUAAAUUCCAUCCAAGGCAAAAUAUUGGCGAGAGGCCGAUAGCGAACAAGUACCGCGAGGGAAAGAUGAAAAGGACUUUGAAAAGAGAGUCAAAGAGUGCUUGAAAUUAUCGGGAAGGAAGAGGAUGGGGGCCGGCGAUGUGUCUCAUUUGGAUGUGGAACCGUUAGUGUCGAUCCGCCAAUCGACUUGGGACUUCGACUGACGCAGAUUUUGACGGUGGCCCUAGCCUGGGUUGUUGAAAUGCUCACGAAGACGUCAUCAUCACGAUUGUGGACAGAAGCACGCGUCGUUUCGGCGUGCUUCGGCACUUGCGCUCUCUUGGUGUCGGCUUGUGGGCUCCCCAUUCAACCCGUCUUGAAACACGGACCAAGGAGUCAGACAUGUGUGCGAGUCAACGGGCGAGUAAACCCAUAAGGCGCAAGGAAGCUGAUUGGUGGGAUCGUCUUGUGGGUUGCACCGCCGACCAACCCCGAUCUUCUGUGAAGGGUUCGAGUGAGAGCAUACUUGUCGGGACCCGAAAUAUUGUGAACUAUGCCUGAGCGGGCCGAAGCCAGAGGAAACUCUGGUGGAGGCCCGCAGCGAUACUAACGUGCAAAUCGUUCGUCUGACUUGGGUGUAGGGGCGAAAGACUAAUCGAACCGUCUAGUAGCUGGUACCCUCUGAAGUUUCCCUCAGGUUAGCUGGAGCCCGAGGGCGAGUUCUAUCAGGUAAAGCCAAUGAUUUUAGGCAUCGGGGGAGCAACGCCCUCGACCUAUUCCCAAAAUUUAAAUAGGUAGGACGGUGUGGCAGCUUUGUUUAGCCAUGCCAUGGAAUCGAGAGCUCCAAGUGGGCAAUUUUUGGUAAGCAGAACUGGCGAUGUGGGAUGAACCAGAAGCUGGGUUACGAUGCCCAACUGCGCGCUAACCUAGACCUCACAAAGGGUGUUGGUCGAUUAAGACAACAGGACGGUGGUCAUGGAAGUCCAAAUCCGCUAAGGAGUGUGUAACAACUCACCUACCGAAUCAACUAGCCCUGAAAAUGGAUGGCACUAAAUCGUGCGACCUAUACCCGACCGUUGGGGUAAGGGCCAGGCCCCGAUAAGUAGGAGGGUGCAGUGGUCGCUGCAAAAUUUGGGGCGCCAGCCUUGGCGGAGAGGUCGUUAGUGCAGAUCUCGGUGGUAGUAGCAAAUAUUCAAAUGAGAACUUUGAAGGCCGAAGGACGGGAAAGGUUCCAUGUGAACGACAAUGUUAGGGAGUCCAAAGACGUUGGCGGGGGCCCCGGCAAGAGUUAUCUUUUCGGUUUAACAGCCUGCCCACUUUGGAAAGUGCUCAGCCGAAGGUAGGGUCCAGAGGCUAGAAGAGCAUCGCACGUCGCGUGGUGUCCGGUGCUCCCCUGGCAGCCCUUAAAUAUCCGGAGGACUGAGUGCCUUCCAUGCCCGGUCGUACUCAUAACCGCAUCAGGUCUCCAAGGUGAAGAGCCUCUGGUCGAUGGAACAAUGUAGGCAAGGGAAGUCAGCAAAAUGGAUCCAUAACCUCGGGAAAAUGAUUAGCUCUGAGGGUUGGGCACGCGGGUCCCAGUUCCGAACCCGUCGGCUGUUGGUGGACUGCUUAAGCUGCUCCCGCGGCGAGAGCGGGUCGCCGCAUGCCGGUCGGGGGAUGGAUUGGGAACAGACCCUUCGGGGCCUCUUCCUCGGGCAUCGAGCAAUCAACUCAAAACUCGUACGGACAAGGGGAAUCCGACUGUUUAAUUAAAACAAAGCAUUGCGAUGGUUCCUGUGGAUGUUGACGCAAUGUGAUUUUUGCCCAAUGCUUCGAAUGUUAAAGUGAAGAAAUUCAACCGAGCGAUGGUAAACGGCGGGAGUAACUAUGACUCUCUUAAAGUAGCCAAAUGCCUCGUCAUCUAAUUAGUGACGCGUAUGAAUGGAUUAUCGAGAUUCCCAUUGUCACUGUCUACUAACCAGUGAAACCACAGCCAAGGGAACGGGCAUGGCAGAAUCAGCGGGGAAAAAAGAUGUUGUUGAGCUUGACUCUAGUCCGACAUUGUGAAAUGACUUGAGAGGUCUAGGAUAAGUGGGAGCUGGAGAUAGCGAAAGUGAAAUACCACUACUUUUAAUGUUAUUUUACUUAUUCCGUGAAUCGGAGGCGGGGCGUUGUCCCUUUUUUUGGAUCCAAGGCUGACUUCAGUUGGCCAAUCCGUGUGGAAGACAUUGUCAGGUGGGAAAUCAUUGUUCGGGCUGCACAUCUGUUAAAAGAUAACACAAGUGUCAUAAGAUGAGAUCAACGAGAACAGAAAUCUCGUGUGGAACAAAAGGGUAAAAGCUCGUUUGAUUCUGAUUUCCAGUACGAAUACGAACCGUGAAAGCAUGGCUUAUCAAUCCUUUAGUCCUUCAGAAUUUGAAGCUAGAUGUGUCAGAAAAGUUACCAUAGGGAUAACUGGCUUGUUGCAGCCAAGCGUUCAUAGCGAUGUUGCUUUUUGAUCCUUCGAUGUCGGCUCUUCCUAUCAUUGUGAAGCAGAAUUCACCAAGUGUUGGAUUGCUUACCCACCAAUAGGGAACGUGAGCUGGGUUUAGACCGUCGUGAGACAGGUUAGUUUUACCCUACUAAUGACAAUGUCACAAUAGUAAUUCAACCUAGUUCGAGAGGAACUGUUGAUUUGCACAAUUGGUCAUCACACUUGGUGGAAAAGCUAGUGGCGCGAAGCUAUCGUGUGUUGGAUUAUGAUUGAAUGCCUCUAAGUUAGAAUCUGGGCUAGAAGCGAUGCGUGUGCCCGACGUUCGUUUGCCGACCAGCAGUAGGGAGCCUUGGCCCCCAAGAGGCACAUGAGUUGGUGGACCUCGUAAGGCGGAUGAGCCUUCCUGGACACCUUGAAACGCAAUUCCUUUUGAGCGGCGGGUAAAAUCU
Molecule: ribosomal RNA, 3177 nt
Filed under: Cicer reticulatum
Lineage: Eukaryota; Viridiplantae; Streptophyta; Magnoliopsida; Fabales; Fabaceae
Description: eukaryotic LSU rRNA
Rfam family: Eukaryotic large subunit ribosomal RNA
Source: RNAcentral